GAUGAACGCUAGCGAUAGGCCUAACACAUGCAAGUCGAGGGGCAUCACAUGAAGUAGCAAUACGGAUGGUGGCGACCGGCGCACGGGUGAGUAACACGUAUGCAACCUGCCUUCAACAAGGGGAUAACCCGUUGAAAGACGGACUAAUACCCUAUAACACAGGGGUCCCGCAUGGGAAUAUUUGUUAAAGGACAACCGGUUGAAGAUGGGCAUGCGUUCCAUUAGCUAGUUGGCGGGGUAACGGCCCACCAAGGCAACGAUGGAUAGGGGAACUGAGAGGUUUAUCCCCCACACUGGUACUGAGACACGGACCAGACUCCUACGGGAGGCAGCAGUGAGGAAUAUUGGUCAAUGGACGCAAGUCUGAACCAGCCACGUCGCGUGAAGGAAGACGGCCCUACGGGUU
RNAcentral lists this ribosomal RNA (406 nucleotides) under uncultured bacterium. Its description in RNAcentral is "bacterial SSU rRNA". It matches the Rfam family "Bacterial small subunit ribosomal RNA", at positions 28 to 424 of the family's 1533-position model. The record is from RNAcentral.